Molecule: long non-coding RNA, 586 nt
Organism: Cloeon dipterum
Lineage: Eukaryota; Metazoa; Arthropoda; Insecta; Ephemeroptera; Baetidae
Exons: 3
Source: RefSeq, a predicted model, not a curated record
GAGAAAGUGGAGAGCUGGAGUGUGUUUUAAAAGUCACAAUAUUAUUUGUGUUGUGUGCGAUGCGGGGGGCGCGCUCCAAGGCGAUCCAAAUUGAGCCUGUAAUUUGAUUGAAAAAAAUUUGGACAGGAAGAGGACAGAAAAUUUCUUCCUGAGCUACCCUGAGCUGCUGCGGAUGACGUGCCGCCGAACUGAUGAGCCACGAGGACCAGUACCGAAACAGGGUGAAAAAAGGUGCUACCUGUUCAAGAAGCUGAAGGAGCUGCGCAAAAAAGGCGCAAUGGUUGUCCAACCUGUGCAACGUGAAGCAAGUCGGCGAAGGAGCAGCGCCACUUUGCAUGGAGUUCCCAUCCUGCGCAACGAAAUCAACAUUUUCCUGCUCGAGGGCGGAAGGCAGUAGUUAGUUGUUUCCCUCCGACAUCAGCUGAUUCUCUUUUUUCUACGCGUUCUCACACUGAUUUUUCUCUUUAGAAAUGAACAGUUUGCAAUUUAUCAGUUUUGUUGCGAGACUCUAAUUUGUGAUCUUGGUUCAAAACUUAAAACGUUUCAGCCAAUAAAACGAUGGAUAUAAUCUAUUUUUUAAUAGAAA